ACACGACUACAUUAGAUACCCCUGUAGUCCCAGCUGUAAACUAUGUGCGUUAGGUGUGUCAGUGACCACGUGUCACUGAGGUGCCGAAGGGAAACCGUGAAACGCACCGCCUGGGAGUACGGUCGCAAGGCUGAAACUUAAAGGAAUUGGCGGGGGAGCGCCACAACGGGUGGAGCCUGCGGUUUAAUUGGAUUCAACGCCGGAAGUCUUACCGGGACCGACAGCAACAUGAAGGCCAGGCUGAAGACUUUGCCGGAUUAGCUG
This 264-nucleotide ribosomal RNA is filed under the name uncultured archaeon. RNAcentral describes it as "partial 16S ribosomal RNA". It matches the Rfam family "Archaeal small subunit ribosomal RNA", at positions 717 to 982 of the family's 1478-position model. The record is from RNAcentral.